UAGGGAAUCUUCCACAAUGGACGCAAGUCUGAUGGAGCAACGCCGCGUGAGUGAAGAAGGUUUUCGGACCGUAAAGCUCUGUUGUUGGUGAAGAAGGAUAGAGGUAGUAACUGGCCUUUAUUUGACGGUAAUCAACCAGAAAGUCACGGCUAACUACGUGCCAGCAGCCGCGGUAAUCGUAGGUGGCAAGCGUUGUCCGGAUUUAUUGGGCGUAAAGCGAGCGCAGGCGGAAGAAUAAGUCUGAUGUGAAAGCCCUCGGCUUAACCGAGGAAUUGCAUCGGAAACUGUUUUCUUGAGUGCAGAAGAGGAGAGUAGAACUCCAUGUGUAGCGGUGGAAUGCGUAGAUAUAUGGAAGAAUACCAGUGGCGAAGGCGGCUCUCUGGUCUGCAACUGACGCUGAGGCUCGAAAGCAUGGGUAGCGAACAGGAUUAGAUACCCUGGUAGUCCAUGCCGUAAACGAUGAGUGCUAAGUGUUGGGAGGCUUCCGCCUCUCAGUGCCGCAGCUAACGCAUUAAGCACUCCGCCUGGGGGAGUACGACCGCAAGGUUGAAAC
This 553-nucleotide ribosomal RNA is filed under the name uncultured bacterium. Its description in RNAcentral is "partial 16S ribosomal RNA". It matches the Rfam family "Bacterial small subunit ribosomal RNA", at positions 355 to 900 of the family's 1533-position model. The record is from RNAcentral.